RNAcentral lists this ribosomal RNA (1372 nucleotides) under uncultured bacterium. Its description in RNAcentral is "bacterial SSU rRNA". It matches the Rfam family "Bacterial small subunit ribosomal RNA", at positions 28 to 1381 of the family's 1533-position model. The record is from RNAcentral.
GAUGAACGCUGGCGGCGUGCCUAAUACAUGCAAGUCGAGCGAACGGACGAGAAGCUUGCUUCUCUGAUGUUAGCGGCGGACGGGUGAGUAACACGUGGAUAACCUACCUAUAAGACUGGGAUAACUUCGGGAAACCGGAGCUAAUACCGGAUAAUAUUUUGAACCGCAUGGUUCAAAAGUGAAAGACGGUCUUGCUGUCACUUAUAGAUGGAUCCGCGCUGCAUUAGCUAGUUGGUAAGGUAACGGCUUACCAAGGCAACGAUGCAUAGCCGACCUGAGAGGGUGAUCGGCCACACUGGAACUGAGACACGGUCCAGACUCCUACGGGAGGCAGCAGUAGGGAAUCUUCCGCAAUGGGCGAAAGCCUGACGGAGCAACGCCGCGUGAGUGAUGAAGGUCUUCGGAUCGUAAAACUCUGUUAUUAGGGAAGAACAUAUGUGUAAGUAACUGUGCACAUCUUGACGGUACCUAAUCAGAAAGCCACGGCUAACUACGUGCCAGUAGCCGCGGUAAUACGUAGGUGGCAAGCGUUAUCCGGAAUUAUUGGGCGUAAAGCGCGCGUAGGCGGUUUUUUAAGUCUGAUGUGAAAGCCCACGGCUCAACCGUGGAGGGUCAUUGGAAACUGGAAAACUUGAGUGCAGAAGAGGAAAGUGGAAUUCCAUGUGUAGCGGUGAAAUGCGCAGAGAUAUGGAGGAACACCAGUGGCGAAGGCGACUUUCUGGUCUGUAACUGACGCUGAUGUGCGAAAGCGUGGGGAUCAAACAGGAUUAGAUACCCUGGUAGUCCACGCCGUAAACGAUGAGUGCUAAGUGUUAGGGGGUUUCCGCCCCUUAGUGCUGCAGCUAACGCAUUAAGCACUCCGCCUGGGGAGUACGACCGCAAGGUUGAAACUCAAAGGAAUUGACGGGGACCCGCACAAGCGGUGGAGCAUGUGGUUUAAUUCGAAGCAACGCGAAGAACCUUACCAAAUCUUGACAUCCUUUGACAACUCUAGAGAUAGAGCCUUCCCCUUCGGGGGACAAAGUGACAGGUGGUGCAUGGUUGUCGUCAGCUCGUGUCGUGAGAUGUUGGGUUAAGUCCCGCAACGAGCGCAACCCUUAAGCUUAGUUGCCAUCAUUAAGUUGGGCACUCUAAGUUGACUGCCGGUGACAAACCGGAGGAAGGUGGGGAUGACGUCAAAUCAUCAUGCCCCUUAUGAUUUGGGCUACACACGUGCUACAAUGGACAAUACAAAGGGCAGCGAAACCGCGAGGUCAAGCAAAUCCCAUAAAGUUGUUCUCAGUUCGGAUUGUAGUCUGCAACUCGACUACAUGAAGCUGGAAUCGCUAGUAAUCGUAGAUCAGCAUGCUACGGUGAAUACGUUCCCGGGUCU